Molecule: ribosomal RNA, 420 nt
Filed under: Enterococcus faecium
Lineage: Bacteria; Bacillati; Bacillota; Bacilli; Lactobacillales; Enterococcaceae
Description: bacterial SSU rRNA
Rfam family: Bacterial small subunit ribosomal RNA
Source: RNAcentral
CCCUUGACGGUAUCUAACCAGAAAGCCACGGCUAACUACGUGCCAGCAGCCGCGGUAAUACGUAGGUGGCAAGCGUUGUCCGGAUUUAUUGGGCGUAAAGCGAGCGCAGGCGGUUUCUUAAGUCUGAUGUGAAAGCCCCCGGCUCAACCGGGGAGGGUCAUUGGAAACUGGGAGACUUGAGUGCAGAAGAGGAGAGUGGAAUUCCCAUGUGUAGCGGUGAAAUGCGUAGAUAUAUGGAGGAACACCAGUGGCGAAGGCGGCUCUCUGGUCUGUAACUGACGCUGAGGCUCGAAAGCGUGGGGAGCAAACAGGAUUAGAUACCCUGGUAGUCCACGCCGUAAACGAUGAGUGCUAAGUGUUGGAGGGUUUCCGCCCUUUCAGUGCUGCAGCUAACGCAUUAAGCACUNCCGCCUGGGGAGA